RNAcentral lists this ribosomal RNA (89 nucleotides) under Cavia porcellus (domestic guinea pig). Lineage: Eukaryota; Metazoa; Chordata; Mammalia; Rodentia; Caviidae. The record is from RNAcentral.
ACCAAACACUGAUCUCGUCUGAUCUCGGAAGCUAAGCAAGGUUGGGCCUGGUUAGUACUUGGAUGGGAGACAAACACCAAACACUGGUC